AUGUGCAUUGUGUUUGAUCAAAGGCGCGUGGGUGGUGUGCUGUUGUUUCGCAAGUGGUGCUUGUGCAAGGUCGAGGAGGCUUGCGCUGCUGUGAUCUGGAGGUGUUGUCGUUGUUGUGUGCGUGACCAGAUCCUGUGCAAGCUGGCUUUAAAGGAGUUGUUUCUUGAACGCAGAUCUCUGCCAUUAUGCCUAUAUUGUGAACCUACAUCAGUGUUCGUGAAUGAAAGUGUGGUUAGAAGGUGGCGGUACGGAGCGACGAAAGUGUGCACGCAGAGCAGCUUCAGGUGGCAUCUAAAUAGUGACUACUAG
Vicia faba (fava bean) is the source of this 309-nucleotide non-coding RNA. The record is from the annotation of a GenBank genome assembly. NCBI's taxonomy places the organism in Eukaryota, Viridiplantae, Streptophyta, Magnoliopsida, Fabales, Fabaceae.